This 253-nucleotide ribosomal RNA is filed under the name uncultured bacterium. Its description in RNAcentral is "partial 16S ribosomal RNA". It matches the Rfam family "Bacterial small subunit ribosomal RNA", at positions 524 to 776 of the family's 1533-position model. The record is from RNAcentral.
GACAGAGGAUGCAAGCGUUAUCCGGAAUGAUUGGGCGUAAAGAGCACGUAGGCUGAGAGGUAAGUUAGAUGUGAAAUCCCGGGGCUCAACUUCGGACCCGCAUCUAAAACUGCCUUUAUAGAGGAUGGAAGGAGAAAAGGGAAUUCCACGUGUAGCGGUGAAAUGCGUAGAUAUGUGGAAGAACACCGGUGGCGAAGGCGCUUUUCUAUUUUAUUCCUGACACUGAGGCGCGAAAGCUAGGGGAGCAAACAGG